UCCAAGUAAUUCGCGGGGGCCCGCACAAGCGGUGGAGCAUGUGGUUUAAUUCGAAGCAACGCGAAGAACCUUACCAGGUCUUGACAUCCUUUGACCACUCUAGAGAUAGAGCUUUCCCUUCGGGGACAAAGUGACAGGUGGUGCAUGGUUGUCGUCAGCUCGUGUCGUGAGAUGUUGGGUUAAGUCCCGCAACGAGCGCAACCCUUAUUGUUAGUUGCCAUCAUUUAGUUGGGCACUCUAGCGAGACUGCCGGUGACAAACCGGAGGAAGGUGGGGAUGACGUCAAAUCAUCAUGCCCCUUAUGACCUGGGCUACACACGUGCUACAAUGGGAAGUACAACGAGUCGCUAGACCGCGAGGUCAUGCAAAUCUCUUAAAGCUUCUCUCAGUUCGGAUUGCAGGCUGCAACUCGCCUGCAUGAAGCCGGAAUCGCUAGUAAUCGCGGAUCAGCACGCCGCGGUGAAUACGUUCCCGGGCCUUGUACACACCGCCCGUCACACCACGAGAGUUUGUAACACCCGAAGUUGUUGUUUGAUCCGGCUCAGAUAACGCGC
Molecule: ribosomal RNA, 554 nt
Filed under: Staphylococcus saprophyticus
Lineage: Bacteria; Bacillati; Bacillota; Bacilli; Caryophanales; Staphylococcaceae
Description: bacterial SSU rRNA
Rfam family: Bacterial small subunit ribosomal RNA
Source: RNAcentral